Molecule: long non-coding RNA, 763 nt
Organism: Melanotaenia boesemani (Boeseman's rainbowfish)
Lineage: Eukaryota; Metazoa; Chordata; Actinopteri; Atheriniformes; Melanotaeniidae
Exons: 6
Source: RefSeq, a predicted model, not a curated record
AGUAUAUCUUACAACAAUACUAAUACCUGUUACUUUCUCAUUACAGGUAUUGACCAUAUUUGCAGAAGAUGUCUGAAAAGUUCCCUGAGCUUCAACCUCUUACAGAGAUGAAGCCUUUUCUCUCUGUAAUGCAUGCUAAGGCUCACACUGGCAAAUGUGAGGCGACGUGGGGGGGCAGAAACCAGGAAGGUGCAGGAAAUACAAUUGGUGAGGAGGUGGAACAGGUUAAUAGUUUUCUCUCCAGGGCAGCUUUGACCACAAAGUACAUGGCCAAAUCAGGUCGAACAGACAUGUUAACCAUCUUUGCCGUGGGAUGGAACCAUCGGAAGGUGGAGCUUCUCCACAAGGCACUGGCAAAGAGGUUUAUGAAGAUUACAAAGCGAGCAGAAAUUGAAGUAGCGAAUCUUCACUCAAGCAAGACCUGAACAUCUCUCUGGAGGACACACAACAGUGGGUGGAGGAUGCCAAACACUGGGCAACCACUGAGAGACAUGACGCUAAUAGCAGCCAGGAAGACCUCCAGAGAGAGAUUGAUGAGAUCAUUUAUUCCCUCCGAAGAAGGAAGCAUGAUCUCUGUCAACAGAAUGACAGCAACCAAGCAAGGCUGCGCAAACGGAGGAAUCUGUGUAAUCUCAAGAAGAAACUAAAGGAGAGGAUCCUGCACUACAACACUGUUUGUGCAUCAGGUCAAACAACUGACACAGAAGCAGCAUGCAGUCUCUGAUGAUGUCAUUCUGCCAUGGGAUGUGCAAGGAGAUGGUAA